This 494-nucleotide ribosomal RNA is filed under the name uncultured bacterium. RNAcentral's name for it is "partial 16S ribosomal RNA". It matches the Rfam family "Bacterial small subunit ribosomal RNA", at positions 28 to 507 of the family's 1533-position model. The record is from RNAcentral.
GACGAACGCUGGCGGCGCGCUUAACACAUGCAAGUCGAACGGAAAGGCCUGCUUUCCCUUGUGGAUUGCGGGUACUCGAGUGGCGAACGGGUGAGUAACACGUGAGUGAUCUGCCCCCAACUUGGGUAUAAGCCUGGGAAACUGGGUCUAAUUCCCGAUAGGACUGCAGGGUGGUGCCUGUGGUGGAAAACGAUUUUCUAGUGGUUGGGGAUGAGCUCGCGGCCUAUCAGCUUGUUGGUGGGGUAAUGGCCUACCAAGGCGGCGACGGGUAGCCGGCCUGGGAGGGUGGACGGCCACAUUGGGACUGAGAUACGGCCCAGACUCCUACGGGGGGCAGCAGUGGGGAAUAUUGCACAAUGGGCGGAGGCCUGAUGCAGCGACGCCGCGUGGGGGAUGACGGCCUUCGGGUUGUAAACUCCUUUCGACCGCGAGGAAGCCACCUGGUUGGAAGGGUGGUGACGGUAGUGGUAGAAGAAGCACCGGCUAACUACGUG